This is a long non-coding RNA of Hippocampus zosterae (dwarf seahorse), 404 nucleotides long. RefSeq lists it as uncharacterized. The record is from RefSeq and is a predicted model, not a curated record. Lineage: Eukaryota; Metazoa; Chordata; Actinopteri; Syngnathiformes; Syngnathidae. The transcript is spliced from 2 exons.
UAAGUCUGGACUACAUUAAUCGAAAAAGUUGCUUUCCCGCACUUGAAGACAGUGUAAUCAGUCCGUGUAAUGCGCCAUGAAGUGUUGUUGACAUGUCAGAGGGAACCAUGCAAAGUGUGGCAAGGCAGUGUGGAAAAGAUUUGGCUGGAGUCUGCUGCUUUCUAGGAGGGGGGAAAAAAAUGAAGCUUAGGGAUGGUACUCGAGGGAAGAAAGGGAGGGUGAGUGUCAUGUUGACCGGCGAGUGUCUCCCCCACCAGCUUCCUCUGGGAGCUAAAUCUUGGAAAUAUCCACCCAGCUAUUCUGACAUUUUUAUCCCUUUAAAAUUGGGCCAAAUGUACAGGAAGAAUCGUGUUACAUGGGAGAUUCCGUGGAUUAUGCUUACAGGUGUAUACAUCAAAAACAAG